UCCCUCAAUAAACACUGAUUUUGACAGGCUAAAACAAAUAUGAAACAUGUUCAAUUCUGCUGAAAUUUCUAUUACACCAAUUCUCUACCAUCCACACAUAUGAACAGAACUGUAGCUCCAUUAAAACAUACCUCAAUUAAAUCCUUUCUCAUUACUCACAGCAAAAGAGUCCAAAAUAUUAACAUACCAACUACUUAUAUCCAACAAUCAUACUAAACUCUCAACAGCAUAGAUUCGUCUUCAUAACAUAUAAAUAACAGGAGAAAAUCUUAAAUAACAUGCAUAGUUCAAGAUUUACUACAGAAUGUUAAAAGAGUAGAAGAAACAGAAGAAAUAAAUUCAAAUACAACUUGUAUUUAAUCAGUUUUCCCCUCGAAAUACAUGCUCACAAUCAACGUGUUGUCCAUGGUUUGGGAAAAAUACCUGGAAUGCAAUAGAAAAUAAGGAGUUAACAUCAGCAAAUAGAAAUAGCAUAAAACCAACAACACCAAAUAGAAUCAGCUUCUUCAAACCAAGUGAGGAACCAAGAUGAACCCAAUCUAUGGAGCUUCAUGCACACUAAUUGACUAGGAAGUUUUCAGAGCAGAUUUAAACAAAUUUUGAUCAAAGAAUUGUAGGGAAUAUCAGUGUUCUUUCUGAGUUUCAAAGCCUAGUCGUUUUCAUUAUUUUCAGUAUUUUUUAAUCUCCCAAAUCUGACUUGAGAAUGAAGUUACAAUGUCUUUAUAGGCAAGCCUUAGGACAACAGAAAAUGAGUUUAGUUUGCUCUUUAAUCCUUUUUGAAUUUUUAUUUUUGCUCCUAUGCCCUUAGUUUAAAAAAUAAGAUUUUCAAAACAAACCCAAACUCACCUUCUAGGAAGCUUUCCCAUUCAGUUAUUAAGGAUUCCCUAGCCUAAAUUUCCUAAUCUAACCCUUAGAACCCCUGUUUUUACUUCAGUGAACCAAACGGGUCAAAUUGACCCAAGGUUCAAGCUCUAAAAUUGGGCUGGCCAAAACCAGAUUGAAUCCCUUUUUUGGUCUUCUGAUUUCAGAACCCAAGUUUAAUCAGCAAUCACGACUAAUGACUCACAGAGUCAUAAAGACUCAUAAGUUCUUGGGACCAAAGAAAAAUAGAAACAAACAAUAUUUGAACAAAAAUCUAACACAAAACAAAAUUGUGCUAAUUAAAAUAGACUUAAUACUAACAUGCAUACAAAAUGACUUUGAAGAACUAGAAAAACAAGAAAGAAUAAGAAAGAAGAGAAGGAAGCAGAAGAAAAUGAGAUAGGAGAUAGAAAUGAAGAAAAGAUAAACAAAAGAAAAGAAAAAAAUACCUAAGAUGGCUCGGACAGUAAAGAAUUGAAACGAAUCUUCAAACCUUCAAAUUUCGACUGAGUUUGACAUUAAUCGUGUGUUCUUGUCAAGAACACAGGAAUAAAAUCCAACUAGACCCCAAUCUUUCAUUGAAAUCUCGAUUUGGGGAAUUUUGGGAUUUUAGGGUUCGACACUUCAAAUCAAGAUUCGACGGGUUCUGGAAUGAUUCGAGGGAAAAGGGUGUCGGAUUUAGUAUGAGGGAGUCAUGGGGGUUUCAUGGUGUUGAUUUGGUACGGGUUAGAGGCGGCGCCGCCACCGGAUGACGCUAGGGCGGCACUAGGGUUAUGGGUUGUCUCUGAAAAAGGAAGUGAAGUGAGAGAGACGAGUUAGAGGGGGUAGGGUGG
Molecule: long non-coding RNA, 1694 nt
Filed under: Nicotiana tabacum (common tobacco)
Lineage: Eukaryota; Viridiplantae; Streptophyta; Magnoliopsida; Solanales; Solanaceae
Description: long non-coding RNA (NTAB_LNC008359)
Source: RNAcentral